UACGUAGGGUGCAAGCGUUGUCCGGAAUUAUUGGGCGUAAAGAGCUCGUAGGCGGUCAGUCGCGUCUGCUGUGAAAACUCGGGGCUUAACUCCGGGCCUGCAGUGGGUACGGGCUGACUAGAGUGCGGUAGGGGAGACUGGAAUUCCUGGUGUAGCGGUGGAAUGCGCAGAUAUCAGGAGGAACACCGAUGGCGAAGGCAGAUCUCUGGGCCGUAACUGACGCUGAGGAGCGAAAGCAUGGGGAGCGAACAGG
RNAcentral lists this ribosomal RNA (253 nucleotides) under uncultured bacterium. RNAcentral describes it as "partial 16S ribosomal RNA". It matches the Rfam family "Bacterial small subunit ribosomal RNA", at positions 524 to 776 of the family's 1533-position model. The record is from RNAcentral.